GGUUUUAUUUUGUUUUCUCCUUCUUUUUGUGUGGAGCCGAGGAAAGGGCAAACACAAAAACAGCAUUGACCUUGAGUAUGUGCCCCGAAAAAACAAUGGUGCUGUUGCAGAAGGGGAGGUGGCUGGACCCAGGAGGUUCAACAUGAAAAUGAUAUAAGGGCCCACCACACACACACUACUACUGUCUCUGUGUUACUGUUGGUAAUGAGUAAGACGUCUGAUAUAGCGAGUCCAUCACAAGGUGAUCAGGCAGCUUCACACAGCUGCCCCUGUGUCAAAGCAGGGUCCAUGGAAGCUGGAAGACUUCUCAUGGACACUGGCUGAUUAGAGGCAGGCAGGCAUGUGUCAGAGCCCUUCACACAGUGGGAUACUAAUUGUUUGCAUUGCAAAUAUUGGCAUUCUGGGGAUCUCAGUAAUGACCCUGAACCUUUGGCUCAUGCUGACGGACAAAAAUUCAACAUUUUCUACCACUGCAAAACUAAAAGAAAAAAAAUUUAAAAGGAACAACCUACAGUGUAGGAUUUACAUAUUAAAAAAAGACACAUUUGUCUAAAACAUACUCUACGGUAAAAUUUGUAUUUAUUAUCAUUUGUUAAAACCUUGCAUCAUACAAUACUGUUGGUUCAGCACCAAAAAAAAAAAAAAAAAAAAAAAGAGAGAUCAAUAUAUUCUUUUUUGAAACAUAUAUGCUGUAUAUGUUUUAAAGCAAUAUGAAUGAGAGGUUGUGCUUUUAGUUACUCACCAGUAUAGAUCCAAGUGUGGUCUCACUUUCCUUUUAUCCGCAGAGAAACCUGAGAAUAGAUCCCUGGAAUAAUAGGCUGAGAUGUGUUGAGAUGUGUAUGUCUGAUGUAGGAUGCCAAGAUACAAGAGCCCAGUCAAAACUGCUCAACUCUGUUAACUUCUGUUACUAUAAAUAAAGGCAUGUGCCUAGUUUUGAUACAGAAUGGAA
Molecule: long non-coding RNA, 949 nt
Filed under: Rattus norvegicus (Norway rat)
Lineage: Eukaryota; Metazoa; Chordata; Mammalia; Rodentia; Muridae
Description: long non-coding RNA NONRATT023139
Source: RNAcentral